This 301-nucleotide ribosomal RNA is filed under the name uncultured bacterium. RNAcentral's name for it is "partial 16S ribosomal RNA". It matches the Rfam family "Bacterial small subunit ribosomal RNA", at positions 509 to 808 of the family's 1533-position model. The record is from RNAcentral.
CAGCCGCCGCGGGAAUACGUAGGUCCCGAGCAUUGUCCGGAUUUAUUGGGCGUAAAGCGAGCGCAGGCGGUUAGAUAAGUCUGAAGUUAAAGGCUGUGGCUUAACCAUAGUACGCUUUGGAAACUGUUUAACUUGAGUGCAAGAGGGGAGAGUGGAAUUCCAUGUGUAGCGGUGAAAUGCGUAGAUAUAUGGAGGAACACCGGUGGCGAAAGCGGCUCUCUGGCUUGUAACUGACGCUGAGGCUCGAAAGCGUGGGGAGCAAACAAGAUUAGAUACCCGUGUAGUCCCUGUCUCUUAUACA